UCGAACGCGAAAGUGGAGCAAUCCAUGAGUAGAGUGGCAAACGGGUGAGUAACGCGUGGGCGACCUACCUUCGAGCGGGGGAUAACCUUCCGAAAGGAGGGCUAAUACCGCAGGACAUCCCGUGUUUAGAUACACGGAGAUCAAAGCCGGGGAUCGUAAGACCUGGCACUUGAAGAGGGGCCCGCGUCCGAUUAGCUAGUUGGUGAGGUCACGGCUCACCAAGGCUCCGAUCGGUAUCCGGCCUGAGAGGGCGGACGGACACACUGGAACUGAGACACGGUCCAGACUCCUACGGGAGGCAGCAGUGGGGAAUUGUUCACAAUGGGCGCAAGCCUGAUGACGCAACGCCGCGUGGAGGAUGAAGACCUUCGGGUCGUAAACUCCUUUCGACCGAGAUGAAUUCCUUGCGACCUAACACGUCGCGAGGGUGACAGUAUCGAGGGAAGAAGCCCCGGCUAACUCUGUGCCAGCAGCCGCGGUAAUACAGGGGGGGCAAGCGUUGUUCGGAAUUACUGGGCGUAAAGGGUUUGUAGGUGGCUUGUUAAGUCAGACGUGAAAUCCCUCAGCUUAACUGGGGAACUGCGUCUGAUACUGAUGAGCUUGAGUGCAGGAGAGGAACGCGGAAUUCCAGGUGUAGCGGUGAAAUGCGUAGAUAUCUGGAGGAACACCGGUGGCGAAGGCGGCGUUCUGGACUGCAACUGACACUGAAAAACGAAAGCCAGGGGAGCAAACGGGAUUAGAUACCCCGGUAGUCCUGGCCCUAAACCAUGAAUGCUUGGUGUGGCGGGUAUCGAU
Molecule: ribosomal RNA, 795 nt
Filed under: uncultured bacterium
Lineage: Bacteria
Description: bacterial SSU rRNA
Rfam family: Bacterial small subunit ribosomal RNA
Source: RNAcentral